UGUCGUCAGCUCGUGUUGUGAAAUGUUGGGUUAAGUCCCGCAACGAGCGCAACCCUUAUCCUUUGUUGCCAGCGGUCCGGCCGGGAACUCAAAGGAGACUGCCAGUGAUAAACUGGAGGAAGGUGGGGAUGACGUCAAGUCAUCAUGGCCCUUACGACCAGGGCUACACACGUGCUACAAUGGCGCAUACAAAGAGAAGCGACCUCGCGAGAGCAAGCGGACCUCAUAAAGUGCGUCGUAGUCCGGAUUGGAGUCUGCAACUCGACUCCAUGAAGUCGGAAUCGCUAGUAAUCGUGGAUCAGAAUGCCACGGUGAAUACGUUCCCGGGCCUUGUACACACCGCCCGUCACACCAUGGGAGUGGGUUGCAAAAGAAGUAGGUAGCUUAACCUUCGGGAGGGCGCUUACCACUUUGUGAUUCAUGACUGGGGUGAAGUCGUAACAAGGUAACCGUAGG
RNAcentral lists this ribosomal RNA (456 nucleotides) under Escherichia coli. Its description in RNAcentral is "bacterial SSU rRNA". It matches the Rfam family "Bacterial small subunit ribosomal RNA", at positions 1050 to 1506 of the family's 1533-position model. The record is from RNAcentral. RNAcentral also lists the same sequence under 1 other name. Lineage: Bacteria; Pseudomonadati; Pseudomonadota; Gammaproteobacteria; Enterobacterales; Enterobacteriaceae.